Molecule: ribosomal RNA, 1402 nt
Filed under: Comamonas terrigena
Lineage: Bacteria; Pseudomonadati; Pseudomonadota; Betaproteobacteria; Burkholderiales; Comamonadaceae
Description: bacterial SSU rRNA
Rfam family: Bacterial small subunit ribosomal RNA
Source: RNAcentral
UGCAGUCGAACGGCAGCACGGACUUCCGGUCUGGUGGCGAGUGGCGAACGGGUGAGUAAUACAUCGGAACGUGCCCAGUUGUGGGGGAUAACUACUCGAAAGAGUAGCUAAUACCGCAUGAGAACUGAGGUUGAAAGCAGGGGAUCGUAAGACCUUGCGCAACUGGAGCGGCCGAUGGCAGAUUAGGUAGUUGGUGGGAUAAAAGCUUACCAAGCCGACGAUCUGUAGCUGGUCUGAGAGGACGACCAGCCACACUGGGACUGAGACACGGCCCAGACUCCUACGGGAGGCAGCAGUGGGGAAUUUUGGACAAUGGGCGAAAGCCUGAUCCAGCAAUGCCGCGUGCAGGAUGAAGGCCCUCGGGUUGUAAACUGCUUUUGUACGGAACGAAAAGCUUCUGGUUAAUACCUGGGAGUCAUGACGGUACCGUAAGAAUAAGCACCGGCUAACUACGUGCCAGCAGCCGCGGUAAUACGUAGGGUGCAAGCGUUAAUCGGAAUUACUGGGCGUAAAGCGUGCGCAGGCGGUCUUGUAAGACAGAGGUGAAAUCCCCGGGCUCAACCUGGGAACUGCCUUUGUGACUGCAAGGCUGGAGUGCGGCAGAGGGGGAUGGAAUUCCGCGUGUAGCAGUGAAAUGCGUAGAUAUGCGGAGGAACACCGAUGGCGAAGGCAAUCCCCUGGGCCUGCACUGACGCUCAUGCACGAAAGCGUGGGGAGCAAACAGGAUUAGAUACCCUGGUAGUCCACGCCCUAAACGAUGUCAACUGGUUGUUGGGUCUUAACUGACUCAGUAACGAAGCUAACGCGUGAAGUUGACCGCCUGGGGAGUACGGCCGCAAGGUUGAGACUCAAAGGAAUUGACGGUGACCCGCACAAGCGGUGGAUGAUGUGGUUUAAUUCGAUGCAACGCGAAAAACCUUACCCACCUCUGACAUGUACGGAACCCUUUAGAGAUAGAGGGGUGCUCGAAAGAGAGCCGUAACACAGGUGCUGCAUGGCUGUCGUCAGCUCGUGUCGUGAGAUGUUGGGUUAAGUCCCGCAACGAGCGCAACCCUUGCCAUUAGUUGCUACAUUUAGUUGAGCACUCUAAUGGGACUGCCGGUGACAAACCGGAGGAAGGUGGGGAUGACGUCAAGUCCUCAUGGCCCUUAUAGGUGGGGCUACACACGUCAUACAAUGGCUGGUACAAAGGGUUGCCAACCCGCGAGGGGGAGCUAAUCCCAUAAAGCCAGUCGUAGUCCGGAUCGCAGUCUGCAACUCGACUGCGUGAAGUCGGAAUCGCUAGUAAUCGUGGAUCAGAAUGUCACGGUGAAUACGUUCCCGGGUCUUGUACACACCGCCCGUCACACCAUGGGAGCGGGUCUCGCCAGAAGUAGGUAGCCUAACCGCAAGGAGGGCGCUA